UACGUAGGGUGCGAGCGUUGUCCGGAAUUAUUGGGCGUAAAGAGCUCGUAGGCGGUGUGUCACGUCGGCCGUGAAAACCUGCAGCUUAACUGUGGGCGUGCGGUCGAUACGGGCAUCACUGGAGUUCGGCAGGGGAGACUGGAAUUCCUGGUGUAGCGGUGAAAUGCGCAGAUAUCAGGAGGAACACCGGUGGCGAAGGCGGGUCUCUGGGCCGACACUGACGCUGAGGCGCGAAAGCCAGGGGAGCGAACGGG
This 254-nucleotide ribosomal RNA is filed under the name uncultured bacterium. RNAcentral describes it as "partial 16S ribosomal RNA". It matches the Rfam family "Bacterial small subunit ribosomal RNA", at positions 524 to 776 of the family's 1533-position model. The record is from RNAcentral.